This 480-nucleotide ribosomal RNA is filed under the name uncultured bacterium. RNAcentral's name for it is "bacterial SSU rRNA". It matches the Rfam family "Bacterial small subunit ribosomal RNA", at positions 15 to 518 of the family's 1533-position model. The record is from RNAcentral.
GAUCAGUGGCUCAGAACGAACGCUGGCGGCAUGGAUUAGGCAUGCAAGUCGAACGAAGCAGCAAUGUUUAGUGGCGCGAGGGUGAGGAACACGUGAGUGACCUACCCGCAAGUUUGGAACAGCUCCUGGAAACGGGAAUUAAUACUGGAUGUGAUCAUAGAGCUGCAUGGUUUUAUGAUUAAAGCAGCAAUGCGCUUGCGGAUGGGCUCGCGUCCCAUUAGCUAGUUGGUGAGGUAACGGCCCACCAAGGCCAUGAUGGGUAGCUGGUCUGAGAGGACGACCAGCCACACUGGGACUAAGAACUGCCCAGACUCCUACGGGAGGCUGCAGUCGAGAAUUUUGGGCAAUGGACGAAAGUCUGAACCCCCAGCAAUGCCGCGUGCGGGAUGAAGGUCUUCGGAUUGUAAACCGCUGUUUGGAGGGACGAAAAUUGACGGUACUUCCAGAGGAAGCCACGGCUAACUACGUGCCAGCAGCGGC